This 315-nucleotide long non-coding RNA is filed under the name Gossypium barbadense (sea-island cotton). Its description in RNAcentral is "long non-coding RNA (GBAR_LNC000719)". Lineage: Eukaryota; Viridiplantae; Streptophyta; Magnoliopsida; Malvales; Malvaceae. The record is from RNAcentral.
UGCGAAUCAGUGAGCAAUAUGUAUAUAUUAGAUGAAUCAUGACCUUUUGGUUCUACUUGAACUAAGUUACGCGAUAAAUAAUUUAUGCAUAUGACUUAUAGUCGAACGGUCACUAUGGGUUAAGUUUGAAUGGUGAAAUGGAAAUGUGAUAUGUUGAAUGAGAUGUGUUAAUAUAUAAUUAAAUAUGCAUGAUAUUUGAUGUGUAUCCAGGCUUAAAGACUCGCAGGCUUCGUGCUGGUAAAAUAUCCAGGUUAAAUCCAGUAGGCUUCGUGUUGGUAUUAUAUCCUGGAGAAAUCCCCCAGGCCUAGUACUGGU